CAAAAUAUAGCUUAAACAAAGCAUUUCGCUUACACCGAGAAUAUAUCUGUUAAACUCAGAUUAUUUUGA
RNAcentral lists this transfer RNA (69 nucleotides) under Dryophytes walkeri (Walker's treefrog). Its description in RNAcentral is "tRNA-Val". It matches the Rfam family "tRNA". Rfam says of the family: Transfer RNA (tRNA) molecules are approximately 80 nucleotides in length. Their secondary structure includes four short double-helical elements and three loops (D, anti-codon, and T loops). Further hydrogen bonds mediate the characteristic L-shaped molecular structure. tRNAs have two regions of fundamental functional importance: the anti-codon, which is responsible for specific mRNA codon recognition, and the 3' end, to which the tRNAs corresponding amino acid is attached (by aminoacyl-tRNA synthetases). tRNAs cope with the degeneracy of the genetic code in two manners: having more than one tRNA (with a specific anti-codon) for a particular amino acid; and 'wobble' base-pairing, i.e. permitting non-standard base-pairing at the 3rd anti-codon position. Lineage: Eukaryota; Metazoa; Chordata; Amphibia; Anura; Hylidae. The record is from RNAcentral.